GAUGUUUUGUCAUGGCAGUAGAAAAAGUAUUGCGAUUUUUGCUUCUUGGAUAGUGGUCGGACUUUGUGUCUACUCUCCCUUCUCAGUGCUGGGAUUUGUUUCUGUCUGGAACUUGUGCAGGUUUUGAGGUUUUAUGUACUUAAGCCCCAUUGUGUUUGCUUGAAGUCAUCUACCACCUCUGACUCUUGUAAUCUUUCUGCUCCUUUUCCAUGUAGAUCCUCAAGCUCUGAGGGGAGAGGUGUUAUAAAGGCAUUCAAUUUAGAACUCAGAGCUCCAAAGUCACCCUCUAUAUAUUAUGCAGUUGUUGGUCUCUGUGUUUAUUACCACACACUUCAAGAAGAAGCUCUACUGAAGACAGUUGACUAGUGCACUCCUCUGAAGUUCUGGUGGGAACUCUGGGCUCAGGCUGCAGGGAGUCCCAGAGUGGUGCCUAUGUCUAUGCAAACUGUAACAACAAUGGGACUAGAAGAGAUUGUAAAUGCAGGAAGCAGACCAUCAUGGGAAGGUUAUGAAUCAACUUGACAGAUCUCUAUACUAGGACCUCACUUUUGCCUCAUGGAUGCCAUCAGCUUUAUAACGAAAUAUAAGUUCACCAAUGUUGCAAGUUUAGAGAACAUUUUGAGCCCAUCUCUAAAUAAAAUGAAAUGAGACAAAAAUGAAAGAAGAUAAAAACAAUUCAAAAUUGACCUUCACCCAGAAAAGUCCUUCCUGUUUUCAGUCAUCAGUGUUAAUAGUCAGUGAUGGUGUCUGUGUGCAAUUAAAACAUCUGGAUGAAAAAUGUUUCCAGUUCUCUGACACAGCACACCACACAAUGGGACAAUUGGAAACAUCUGGACACAGAAGAAUGGAGCUAUAAGGAUGUUAAAUCUCAAUGGAGAGCUUGAGGAACUCUGGUGACACCUGGGAGACUGGCAUCUGAUUAUGCCUGUGGGAAUGUUUUAGAUUAUAUUAAGUAACAUGGAAAGACCUUCCAGUUAUGCAUGGCACCAUUUCCUGCGCAGGGAUCCUGGACUGUUCAAAACAGAGACACUGAAAUGAACACAUGUGUUUGUGGUCCUCUGGUCCUUGAAGAGAUGCAAUGUUAUCAGUUGUCUCUUGGACUGAUGCUGCUGUGAGUUCUCCACAAUGAUGAGAUGUAUCCUAGAACUGUCAUCCAAAAUAAACUCUUUCUCCC
Molecule: long non-coding RNA, 1174 nt
Filed under: Cricetulus griseus (Chinese hamster)
Lineage: Eukaryota; Metazoa; Chordata; Mammalia; Rodentia; Cricetidae
Description: lncRNA (ENSCGRG00015030403.1)
Source: RNAcentral